AAGCUUCUGCUACUUCUCCUUUCCUUCCGUACGUAUACUCCAACACAAAAUUUCUGUAUUCCAAUACAAGUAAAUAUUCCCCUAGAAAAGUAAAAGUAAAAGAGGGAAACAUUAUAGUAUUAUCUCCAAGAGAGUUCAUGAACUGGUGGACCAGUAGGAAGACAUUUACUGUUAAGACAAGCAGCCCAAGUAUCAAAGCAACCGACUCCAGGAGUAGUAGAGCAGCAGGAACAAUUUAAACCCAUAUAAUUGAAGGGUACACAUCCUUUAGUAGAAGAGUUACUCUUUGGAAUCACAGGGAUCGGGCCAUCUUGAGGUCUACAAGGGUCUUUUGCACCUGCCAUGUCAUAUAUAUGAAACUGUAUUGAUUAUUUUGUUAACAUACAAUAAAAGGUAACUAUAGAAAAGUGGUCGGAUUUUUGAAGGAAUGUUGUUCCUUUUUUAGCCUUCUUGUUUCCUUUUCAAGAAAUACCAGGAGAAUCGUGUUAGUCAAGAUAAGAUAAUAUUCUUGGUCAUCACAGAAUCAUUCAAUUUAGAGACUUGACCUUUUAUUUUUCUUCUGAUUUGACCAGAUGUGAGAAUGAUGGUCCAUUUAAAUAACCAAAAUUAAGAAUUAAGCUCUAUCUAUUCCUUUUUUCGGUGAAAGAAUUUUAUAAUACAUAAACGGCUCAAUGCUCAUAAAAACAACAAAAAUCAAACAAAAAGGUGCAAUUGUGUGUGAAAGAAUCUAUUUUUUUUCUUCUUUUUAAGCCUAGCAACGUCGUAACAUUAAAAAUGCAAAAAAAAGAAGAAGAAGAAAUUGGAGAGUUUUAUUUUGAUUCUAUUCUCUAUAGGGGUUUUAAAUCAAACCAAAAUACACACUAACAAAGAAGUACGUCUUUGUGCAAAGCAUUUUAAGCCUUACCAAAAUGGACCUCAAAACAAAACAUGUAUACCUUCGUAUAGAGCCAGAAAAGUGAAAAAUACACAGGAAAGCACAAAGAAACGAAGGGCCAUGUUGAAUUGGUG
Molecule: long non-coding RNA, 1008 nt
Filed under: Nicotiana tabacum (common tobacco)
Lineage: Eukaryota; Viridiplantae; Streptophyta; Magnoliopsida; Solanales; Solanaceae
Description: long non-coding RNA (NTAB_LNC002955)
Source: RNAcentral